GAUGAAGAACGCAGCGAAAUGCGAUAAGUAAUGUGAAUUGCAGAAUCCAGUGAAUCAUCGAAUCUUUGAACGCACAUUGCGCCGGCCAGCACUCUGGCGGGCAUGCCUGUUCGAGCGUCAUUUCAACCCUCGACCUCCCUUUGGGGAAGUCGGCGUUGGGGACCGGCAGCACACCGCCGGCCCUGAAAUGGAGUGGCGGCCCGUCCGCGGCGACCUCUGCGUAGUAAUCCAACUCGCACCGGAACCCCGACGCGGCCACGCCGUAAAACACCCAACUUCUGAACGUUGACCUCGAAUCAGGUAGGACUACCCGCUGAACUUAAGCAUAUCAAUAAGCGGAGGA
RNAcentral lists this unclassified non-coding RNA (343 nucleotides) under soil metagenome. RNAcentral describes it as "partial contains 5.8S ribosomal RNA, internal transcribed spacer 2, and large subunit ribosomal RNA". The stretch from base 1 to 120 matches the Rfam family "5.8S ribosomal RNA", at positions 35 to 154 of the family's 154-position model. The record is from RNAcentral.